RNAcentral lists this ribosomal RNA (245 nucleotides) under uncultured bacterium. RNAcentral describes it as "partial 16S ribosomal RNA". It matches the Rfam family "Bacterial small subunit ribosomal RNA", at positions 528 to 772 of the family's 1533-position model. The record is from RNAcentral.
UAGGGAGCGAGCGUUGUCCGGAUUUACUGGGUGUAAAGGGUGCGUAGGCGGCUCGGCAAGUCAGAAGUGAAAUCCAUGGGCUUAACCCGUGAACUGCUUUUGAAACUGUCGGACUUGAGUGAAGUAGAGGUAGGCGGAAUUCCCGGUGUAGCGGUGAAAUGCGUAGAGAUCGGGAGGAACACCAGUGGCGAAGGCGGCCUACUGGGCUUUAACUGACGCUGAGGCACGAAAGCAUGGGUAGCAAA